RNAcentral lists this transfer RNA (72 nucleotides) under Aporrhais serresiana. RNAcentral describes it as "tRNA-Asp". Lineage: Eukaryota; Metazoa; Mollusca; Gastropoda; Littorinimorpha; Aporrhaidae. The record is from RNAcentral.
UAAAAAGUUAGUUAAUAUAUAAUAUUAGGUUGUCAGCCUUAUGUUACUGAGUGUAGUUUCAGUACUUUUUAA